Molecule: ribosomal RNA, 440 nt
Filed under: uncultured bacterium
Lineage: Bacteria
Description: partial 16S ribosomal RNA
Rfam family: Bacterial small subunit ribosomal RNA
Source: RNAcentral
CCUACGGGAGGCAGCAGUGGGGAAUAUUGCACAAUGGGGGCAACCCUGAUGCAGCGACGCCGCGUGAAUGAAGAAGUACUUCGGUAUGUAAAACUCUAUCAGCAGGGAAGAAAAUGACGGUACCUGACUAAGAAGCCCCGGCUAACUACGUGCCAGCAGCCGCGGUAAUACGUAGGGGGCAAGCGUUAUCCGGAUUUACUGGGUGUAAAGGGAGCGUAGGCGGGGGAGCAAGUCCGGAGUGAAAGCCCGGGGCUCAACCCCGGGACUGCUCUUGAAACUGCCAAACUUGAGUGCAGGAGGGGUAGGCGGAAUUCCUGGUGUAGCGGUGAAAUGCGUAGAUAUCAGGAGGAACACCGGUGGCGAAGGCGGCCUACUGGACUGUAAAUGACGUUGAGGCUCGAAAGCGUGGGGAGCAAACAGGAUUAGAUACCCGUGUAGUC